RNAcentral lists this long non-coding RNA (768 nucleotides) under Pan troglodytes (chimpanzee). Its description in RNAcentral is "long non-coding RNA NONPTRT002979". The record is from RNAcentral. Lineage: Eukaryota; Metazoa; Chordata; Mammalia; Primates; Hominidae.
UGGUACACUAAAGACUACAAACUGCUAUUUGUAAUACUGUCUUUAAAGAAGACCUUAUGAAUAAGUGGACCUUCCUCUAGUUAUGUGGAAGACUUACUAUUAUUAAGAUGGCAAUAUUCCCCAAAUUUAUCUACAGAUUUAAUGCAAUCCCUAUCAAAAUUCCAACUUCCCAUUUUGUGGAAAUGGGCAAGCUGGUCCUAAAAUUCAUAUAGAAGAGCAAGGGACCCACAAUAGCCAAAACAAUCUUGAAAAAAAUUAAAAAGUUGGAGGAUUCACAAUUCCAGACUUCAAAACUUACUACCGUAAGACCCAACAAUUCCACUUCUAAGUAUACACACAAGAGAAUUGCAAACAAAUUGUUCAGACAAAAACUUGUAUAGGAAUGUUCAUAGCAGCAUUAUUCAUAAUAGCCAAGAGGUAGAAACAAUGUAAUGCUCAUGACUGAUGAAUGAAUUAAACAAAAUGUGGUAUAUCCAUAUAAUAAAAUAUUAUUCAGCAAUAAAAAGAAAUGAAGUACUGAUACAUAAAAAUUGGCUUAGUGUGGUGGUGCAUGCCUGUAAUUCCAGCACUUUGGGAGGUCAAGGUGGGUGGAUGGUUUGAGCCCAGGAGUUUGAGACCAGCCUGGGCAAUAUGGCAAAACCCUGUUUCUACAAAAAAUACAAAAAUUAGCAAGGCAUGGUGGCUCACCUGUAGUCCCAGCUUCUGGGGAGGCUGAGGCAGGAGGAUUACUUGAGUCCAGGAGGUUGAGGCUGCAGUGAGCCAAGAUCA